UGGGGAAUAUUGCACAAUGGGCGCAAGCCUGAUGCAGCCAUGCCGCGUGUGUGAAGAAGGCCUUCGGGUUGUAAAGCACUUUCAGCGAGGAGGAAGGUGGGUGAGCUUAAUACGCUCAUCAAUUGACGUUACUCGCAGAAGAAGCACCGGCUAACUCCGUGCCAGCAGCCGCGGUAAUACGGAGGGUGCAAGCGUUAAUCGGAAUUACUGGGCGUAAAGCGCACGCAGGCGGUUUGUUAAGUCAGAUGUGAAAUCCCCGGGCUCAACCUGGGAACUGCAUUUGAAACUGGCAAGCUAGAGGUCUCGUAGAGGGGGGUAGAAUUCCAGGUGUAGCGGUGAAAUGCGUAGAGAUCUGGAGGAAUACCGGUGGCGAAGGCCGGCCCCCCUGGACGAAGACUGACGCUCAGGUGCGAAAA
Molecule: ribosomal RNA, 416 nt
Filed under: uncultured bacterium
Lineage: Bacteria
Description: partial 16S ribosomal RNA
Rfam family: Bacterial small subunit ribosomal RNA
Source: RNAcentral